CAGGCCUAACACAUGCAAGUCGAACGGUAGCAGGAGAAAGCUUGCUUUCUUGCUGACGAGUGGCGGACGGGUGAGUAAUGCUUGGGAAUCUGGCUUAUGGAGGGGGAUAACUACGGGAAACUGUAGCUAAUACCGCGUAGUGUCGAGAGACGAAAGUGCGGGACCGAAAGGCCGCAUGCCAUGAGAUGAGCCCAAGUGGGAUUAGGUAGUUGGUGGGGUAAAGGCCUACCAAGCCCGCGAUCUCUAGCUGGUCUGAGAGGAUGGCCAGCCACACUGGAACUGAGACACGGUCCAGACUCCUACGGGAGGCAGCAGUGGGGAAUAUUGCGCAAUGGGGGGAACCCUGACGCAGCCAUGCCGCGUGAAUGAAGAAGGCCUUCGGGUUGUAAAGUUCUUUCGGUAUUGAGGAAGGAGUGUAUGUUAAUAGCAUACAUUAUUGACGUUAAAUACAGAAGAAGCACCGGCUAACUCCGUGCCAGCAGCCGCGGUAAUACGGAGGGUGCGAGCGUUAAUCGGAAUAACUGGGCGUAAAGGGCACGCAGGCGGUUAUUUAAGUGAGGUGUGAAAGCCCCGGGCUUAACCUGGGAAUUGCAUUUCAGACUGGGUAACUAGAGUACUUUAGGGAGGGGUAGAAUUCCACGUGUAGCGGUGAAAUGCGUAGAGAUGUGGAGGAAUACCGAAGGCGAAGGCAGCCCCUUGGGAAUGUACUGACGCUCAUGUGCGAAAGCGUGGGGAGCAAACAGGAUUAGA
Molecule: ribosomal RNA, 750 nt
Filed under: uncultured bacterium
Lineage: Bacteria
Description: bacterial SSU rRNA
Rfam family: Bacterial small subunit ribosomal RNA
Source: RNAcentral